Molecule: long non-coding RNA, 736 nt
Filed under: Calidris pygmaea (Spoon-billed sandpiper)
Lineage: Eukaryota; Metazoa; Chordata; Aves; Charadriiformes; Scolopacidae
Description: lncRNA (ENSCPGG00000000122.1)
Source: RNAcentral
AAUGCCUUUCGCCGCGCCGGCGCCGAGCAUGCGCAGCCACCGCCUCCGCGCGCCCGAGCAGGGGGGGCGAGGGGCCGCCCGCCCCUUCCCCGCCGCCGCCGGGAACGCGGGGAAGGCGGUGCGGUGCCGCCCCGCCCCGCCGCCGCCACGGCCCCUCGGCGGAGAGCGCCCGCCUGCCAGGAGGAGGUGGGCGGGGAGGCCGUGAGGAGGCGGUAGGGGCGGCGGGGCCGAGGGGGCGGUAGCUGCCGUUGGCGCGGCGGGCGGCAGGUCUACACCCUCUUCCUUCACCUUCUAUGGUAGGACGUGUUCCCUCCUCCGCCGUCAGCACGCUGCCUGCUCUGACACCGCUCUGCCUCCUUAACCCUGCCGCCGUCUCUCCCUGUCCUGGCAGUGAACCGGUCCAUGAAGUAAAAGUAGCUUCCUCUCUGUGCUAAAGGUGAUAAUGAUAAUGAACUGCUUCUUCAGAAGUCUAUCAAGACAGCAGUAUGAACAAAUACUAAAUCAAUCGCUGCUAGUCAACCUGAAAGUCAGGGUGGAUCCCUUCCUAUCUCAGCUCUCGCAGCCUCUGAAAUUAAAUGGAAGAAAACUUAGAUUUUUUUUUCCCCCCAUAAGCACAACUGGAAGGUGUCCAGUAACCACCAAUAUUCUCCUGUUUGUAUUGAAGGUCUUUGCCCUCACCAUGUCAAGGAGCGUUAAUGAUGUGUUCCCUCUCCGCUGCAUUCCCCACCUGUCAUCU